Long non-coding RNA from Peromyscus leucopus (white-footed mouse), 395 nucleotides. RefSeq lists it as uncharacterized. The transcript is spliced from 4 exons. The record is from RefSeq and is a predicted model, not a curated record. Lineage: Eukaryota; Metazoa; Chordata; Mammalia; Rodentia; Cricetidae.
UCUGAAGCCAGCCGUUAAAUCUGACAGGCUCACCUUGGCGGACGCGCCUGUAAGGUGACCCUGGAGGAGUCGAGAGACGUCUCGACCCCUCGUUAGGACGUGGGGGGGGGCUCAGAGGACCCCUCCUCCGUCAGAGGACUCCUGUAUGGAGUCCAUCCAUUUAAGGGGACCAGGAACCAAUCUUAGAGUUCUGUGGCCCCGUCUGUAUGGUUUUUGGAUCCGUGUACAUCAACACGGGUUCCAGAGACCCUCUGUUGCACCCGGGAAUCUGUUAAGGCCUUGUCAUUUCUUUAUUGUCUGUUCUUGUGUUUGUUUUUUGUUUCUCUCCCCUUUGUUCAUUAGCUUUCUAAACUAACCAUGGGGACAACUCCAUCUUCCCCCUUGGAUUUAACUGA